This 27-nucleotide non-coding RNA is filed under the name Bombyx mori (domestic silkworm). The record is from RNAcentral. Lineage: Eukaryota; Metazoa; Arthropoda; Insecta; Lepidoptera; Bombycidae.
UAAACGGAUGCGAUGACGAUCGGCUGG